This 199-nucleotide long non-coding RNA is filed under the name Vigna radiata. RNAcentral's name for it is "long non-coding RNA (VRAD_LNC013711)". Lineage: Eukaryota; Viridiplantae; Streptophyta; Magnoliopsida; Fabales; Fabaceae. The record is from RNAcentral.
GGAAUAGUACCGUUUUGGUUCCCUCCUCUUGUUUCCAUUGGUUUUGAUCCUCUUGCCUGAUGAGGAGGCCAUCCCUGCAUCAAAUGCAAUUCACAAAACCAAAAGAAAUCUCAUUAAGCGUUAGUAUGUCACAUAACCUCAUCCAAACAUAUUGCCUAUCAUCGUUGAGGGCAAAACAAGAGCCCCUAGCACCACGUGC